RNAcentral lists this ribosomal RNA (2932 nucleotides) under Proteus mirabilis. RNAcentral describes it as "bacterial LSU rRNA". It matches the Rfam family "Bacterial large subunit ribosomal RNA". Lineage: Bacteria; Pseudomonadati; Pseudomonadota; Gammaproteobacteria; Enterobacterales; Morganellaceae. The record is from RNAcentral.
GGGUUGUGAGGUUAAGCGAAUAAGCGUACACGGUGGAUGCCUAGGCAAUCAGAGGCGAUGAAGGACGUGCUAAUCUGCGAAAAGCGUCGGUAAGGUGAUAUGAACCGUUAUACCCGACGAUAUCCGAAUGGGGAAACCCAGUAUCCAAUGGAUACUAUCAUUAACUGAAUCCAUAGGUUAAUGAGGCGAACCGGGAGAACUGAAACAUCUCAGUACCCCGAGGAAAAGAAAUCAACCGAGAUUCCCCUAGUAGCGGCGAGCGAACGGGGAGCAGCCCAGAGUCUUAAUCAAUAGCAGUGUCAGGAGAACGGUCUGGAAAGUCCGGCAGUAAAGGGUGAUAGCCCCGUAUCUGAAGAUGCUGUUAUUGUGAACUCGACGAGUAGGGCGGGACACGUGUUAUCCUGUCUGAAUAUGGGGGGACCAUCCUCCAAGGCUAAAUACUCCUGAUUGACCGAUAGUGAACCAGUACCGUGAGGGAAAGGCGAAAAGAACCCCGGCGAGGGGAGUGAAAAAGAACCUGAAACCGUGUACGUACAAGCAGUAGGAGCCUCUUUAUGGGGUGACUGCGUACCUUUUGUAUAAUGGGUCAGCGACUUAUAUUCUGUAGCGAGGUUAACCGUAUAGGGGAGCCGUAGGGAAACCGAGUCUUAACUGGGCGAAUGAGUUGCAGGGUAUAGACCCGAAACCCGGUGAUCUAUCCAUGGGCAGGUUGAAGGUUGGGUAACACUAACUGGAGGACCGAACCGACUAAUGUUGAAAAAUUAGCGGAUGACUUGUGGAUGGGGGUGAAAGGCCAAUCAAACCGGGAGAUAGCUGGUUCUCCCCGAAAGCUAUUUAGGUAGCGCCUCGUGAACUCAUCUUCGGGGGUAGAGCACUGUUUCGACUAGGGGGUCAUCCCGACUUACCAACUCGAUGCAAACUGCGAAUACCGAAGAAUGUUAUCACGGGAGACACACGGCGGGUGCUAACGUCCGUCGUGAAGAGGGAAACAACCCAGACCGCCAGCUAAGGUCCCAAAGUCAUGGUUAAGUGGGAAACGAAGUGGGAAGGCUCAGACAGCCAGGAUGUUGGCUUAGAAGCAGCCAUCAUUUAAAGAAAGCGUAAUAGCUCACUGGUCGAGUCGGCCCGCGCGGAAGAUGUAACGGGGCUAAACCAUGCACCGAAGCUGCGGCAGCGACACAAAGUGUUGUUGGGUAGGGGAGCGUUCUGUAAGCCUGCGAAGGUGUACUGUGAGGUAUGCUGGAGGUAUCAGAAGUGCGAAUGCUGACAUAAGUAACGAUAAUGCGGGUGAAAAACCCGCACGCCGGAAGACCAAGGGUUCCUGUCCAACGUUAAUCGGGGCAGGGUGAGUCGACCCCUAAGGCGAGGCUGAAAAGCGUAGUCGAUGGGAAACGGGUUAAUAUUCCCGUACUGGUGGUAACUGCGAUGGGGGAACGGAGAAGGCUAGGUUGUCCGGGCGACGGUCGUCCCGGUUCAAGCAGGUAGGCAGAGUGAUUAGGCAAAUCCGGUCACUUAAUGCUGAGAUGUGAUGACGAACCACCAAGGUGGUGAAGCAAUUGAUGCCCCGCUUCCAGGAAAAGCCUCUAAGCUUCAGGUUACCAACAAUCGUACCCCAAACCGACACAGGUGGUCAGGUAGAGAAUACUCAGGCGCUUGAGAGAACUCGGGUGAAGGAACUAGGCAAAAUGGUGCCGUAACUUCGGGAGAAGGCACGCUGGCGGUAGGUAAAGUCCCUCGCGGACGGCGCUGAAGCCAGUCGAAGAUACCAGCUGGCUGCAACUGUUUAUUAAAAACACAGCACUGUGCAAACACGAAAGUGGACGUAUACGGUGUGACGCCUGCCCGGUGCUGGAAGGUUAAUUGAUGGGGUUAGCCGUAAGGCGAAGCUCCUGAUCGAAGCCCCAGUAAACGGCGGCCGUAACUAUAACGGUCCUAAGGUAGCGAAAUUCCUUGUCGGGUAAGUUCCGACCUGCACGAAUGGCGUAAUGAUGGCCAGGCUGUCUCCACCCGAGACUCAGUGAAAUUGAACUCGCUGUGAAGAUGCAGUGUACCCGCGGCAAGACGGAAAGACCCCGUGAACCUUUACUAUAGCUUGACACUGAACAUUGAGCCUUGAUGUGUAGGAUAGGUGGGAGGCUUUGAAGUGUGGACGCCAGUCUGCAUGGAGCCAACCUUGAAAUACCACCCUUUAACGUUUGAUGUUCUAACCUAGGCCCAUAAACUGGGUCGGGGACCGUGUCUGGUGGGUAGUUUGACUGGGGCGGUCUCCUCCUAAAGAGUAACGGAGGAGCACGAAGGUUGGCUAAGCAUGGUCGGACAUCAUGCGGUUAGUGCAAAGGCAUAAGCCAGCUUGACUGCGAGAGUGACGGCUCGAGCAGGUACGAAAGUAGGUCUUAGUGAUCCGGUGGUUCUGAAUGGAAGGGCCAUCGCUCAACGGAUAAAAGGUACUCCGGGGAUAACAGGCUGAUACCGCCCAAGAGUUCAUAUCGACGGCGGUGUUUGGCACCUCGAUGUCGGCUCAUCACAUCCUGGGGCUGAAGUAGGUCCCAAGGGUAUGGCUGUUCGCCAUUUAAAGUGGUACGCGAGCUGGGUUUAGAACGUCGUGAGACAGUUCGGUCCCUAUCUGCCGUGGGCGUUGGAAGAUUGAGAGGGGUUGCUCCUAGUACGAGAGGACCGGAGUGAACGCACCACUGGUGUUCGGGUUGUCAUGCCAAUGGCAUUGCCCGGUAGCUAAGUGCGGAAGAGAUAACCGCUGAAAGCAUCUAAGCGGGAAACUUGCCUCGAGAUGAGUCUUCCCUGUCGCUUUAAGCGACCUAAAGGAACGUUUAAGACUAAGACGUUGAUAGGCUGGGUGUGUAAGCGUAGCGAUACGUUGAGCUAACCAGUACUAAUGAACCGUGAGGCUUAACCUGACAACACCGAAAGUGUUUUG